ACACGACUACAUUAGAUACCCCCUGUAGUCCCAGCCCUAAACGAUGCGCGUUAGGUGUAUCGGUGACCACGAGUCACCGAGGUGCCGAAGGGAAACCGUGAAACGCACCGCCUGGGGAGUACGGUCGCAAGGCUGAAACUUAAAGGAAUUGGCGGGGGAGCACAACAACGGGUGGAGCUUGCGGUUUAAUUGGAUUCAACGCCGGAAAUCUUACCGGGACCGACAGCAACAUGAAGGCCAAGCUGAAGACUUUUGCCGGAUUAGCUG
This 267-nucleotide ribosomal RNA is filed under the name uncultured archaeon. Its description in RNAcentral is "partial 16S ribosomal RNA". It matches the Rfam family "Archaeal small subunit ribosomal RNA", at positions 717 to 982 of the family's 1478-position model. The record is from RNAcentral.